RNAcentral lists this ribosomal RNA (397 nucleotides) under uncultured bacterium. RNAcentral describes it as "bacterial SSU rRNA". It matches the Rfam family "Bacterial small subunit ribosomal RNA", at positions 362 to 776 of the family's 1533-position model. The record is from RNAcentral.
UAUUGCUCAAUGGGGGAAACCCUGAUGCAGCGACGCCGCGUGAGCGAAGAAGUAUUUCGGUAUGUAAAGCUCUAUCAGCAGUGAAGAANAUGACGGUACCUGACUACGAAGCACCGGCUAAAUACGUGCCAGCAGCCGCGGUAAUACGUAUGGUGCAAGCGUUAUCCGGAUUUACUGGGUGUAAAGGGAGCGUAGACGGUUGUGUAAGUCUGGUGUGAAAGCCCGGGGCUCAACCCCGGGACUGCAUUGGAAACUAUGUAACUCGAGUGUCGGAGAGGUAAGCGGAAUUCCUAGUGUAGCGGUGAAAUGCGUAGAUAUUAGGAGGAACACCAGUGGCGAAGGCGGCUUACUGGACGAUCACUGACGUUGAGGCUCGAAAGCGUGGGGAGCAAACAGG